GACGAACGCUGGCGGCGUGCUUAACACAUGCAAGUCGAACGGAAAGGCCCUGCUUUUGUGGGGUGCUCGCGUGGCGAACGUGUGAGUAACACGUGAGUAACCUGCCCUUGACUUUGGGAUAACUUCAGGAAACUGGGGCUAAUACCUGAUAGGAGCUCCUGCUGCAUGGUGGGGGUUGGAACGUUUCGGCGGUUGGGGAUGGACUCGCGGCUUAUCAGCUUGUUGGUGGGGUAGUGGCUUACCAAGGCUUUGACGGGUAGCCGGCCUGAGAGGGUGACCGGCCACAAUGGGACUGAGAUACGGCCCAGACUCCUACGGGAGGCAGCAGUGGGGAAUAUUGCACAAUGGGCGGAAGCCUGAUGCAGCAACGCCGCGUGCGGGAUGACGGCCUUCGGGUUGUAAACCGCUUUCGCCUGUGACGAAGCGUGAGUGACGGUAAUGGGUAAAGAAGCACCGGCUAACUACGUG
Molecule: ribosomal RNA, 468 nt
Filed under: uncultured bacterium
Lineage: Bacteria
Description: partial 16S ribosomal RNA
Rfam family: Bacterial small subunit ribosomal RNA
Source: RNAcentral